GACGAACGCUGGCGGCGUGCUUAACACAUGCAAGUCGAACGGAAAGGCCAGUGCUUGCACUGGUUCUCGAGUGGCGCACGGGUGAGUAACACGUGGGUGAUCUGCCUUUCACUCUGGGAUAAGCCUGGGAAACUGGGGCUAAUACCGGAUAUGAACUGUCUAUAGGGUGGUGGUUGGAGAGUAUGUUCGGUGCAAGCUGAGCUCUCGGCUUAUCCGCGUGUUGGUGGGUAAUUGGCCUACCAAGGCAUUGACGGGUAGCCGGCCUGAGAGGGUGGACGGCCACAUUGGGACUGAGAUACGGACCAGAAGCCUACGGGAGGCAGCAGUCGGGAAUAUUGCACAAUGGGCCGAAGCCUGAUGCAGCGACGCCGCGUGCGUGAUGACGGCCUUCGGGUUGUAAACACCUUUCGACAGGGACGAAGCGGAAGUGACGGUACCUGUACAAGAAGCACCGGCUAACUACGUG
RNAcentral lists this ribosomal RNA (466 nucleotides) under uncultured bacterium. Its description in RNAcentral is "partial 16S ribosomal RNA". It matches the Rfam family "Bacterial small subunit ribosomal RNA", at positions 28 to 507 of the family's 1533-position model. The record is from RNAcentral.